UACGUAGGGUGCAAGCGUUGUCCGGAAUUAUUGGGCGUAAAGAGCUCGUAGGCGGUCUGUCGCGUCGGAUGUGAAAAUCCAGGGCUCAACCCUGGACCUGCAUUCGAUACGGGCAGACUAGAGUUCGGUAGGGGAGACUGGAAUUCCUGGUGUAGCGGUGAAAUGCGCAGAUAUCAGGAGGAACACCUAUGGCGAAGGCAGCUCGCUGGGACGUUACUGACGCUGAGACGCGAAAGCGUGGGGAGCAAACAGG
RNAcentral lists this ribosomal RNA (253 nucleotides) under uncultured bacterium. RNAcentral's name for it is "partial 16S ribosomal RNA". It matches the Rfam family "Bacterial small subunit ribosomal RNA", at positions 524 to 776 of the family's 1533-position model. The record is from RNAcentral.